This 266-nucleotide ribosomal RNA is filed under the name uncultured bacterium. RNAcentral's name for it is "partial 16S ribosomal RNA". It matches the Rfam family "Bacterial small subunit ribosomal RNA", at positions 524 to 788 of the family's 1533-position model. The record is from RNAcentral.
UACGUAGGGUGCGAGCGUUUAAUCGGAAUACUGGGCGUAAAGCGUGCGCAGGCGGUUUUGUAAGCCAGAUGUGAAAUCCCCGGGCUUAACCUGGGAAUGGCAUUUGGGACUGCAAGGCUUGAGUGCGGCAGAGGAGACUGGAAUUCCUGGUGUAGCAGUGAAAUGCGUAGAUAUCAGGAGGAACACCGAUGGCGAAGGCAGGUCUCUGGGCUGACACUGACGCUCAUGCACGAAAGCGUGGGGAGCAAACGAGGAUUACGAAACCC